GACGAACGCUGGCGGCGUGCUUAACACAUGCAAGUCGAACGAAGUGGCGAACGGGUGAGUAACGCGUAAUCAACCUGCCCUUCAGAGGGGGACAACAGUUGGAAACGACUGCUAAUACCGCAUACUGAAGGAGGGGAUUGCGUCUGAUUCGCUAGUUGGAGGGGUAACGGCCCACCAAGGCGAUGAUCAGGAGCCGGGCUGAGAGGAGGGACGGCCACAAUGGGACUGAGACACGGCCCAGACUCCUACGGGAGGCAGCAGGGGGGAAUCUUCCGCAAUGGAGGAAAGUCUGACCAAGCAACGCCGCGUGAGUGAAGAAGGUUUUCGGAUCGUAAAGCUCUGUUGUUAAGGAAGCGGUACUUAACCAGAAAGGGACGGCUAACUACGUGCCAGCAGCCGCGGUAAUAC
RNAcentral lists this ribosomal RNA (408 nucleotides) under uncultured bacterium. RNAcentral's name for it is "partial 16S ribosomal RNA". It matches the Rfam family "Bacterial small subunit ribosomal RNA", at positions 28 to 526 of the family's 1533-position model. The record is from RNAcentral.